This 253-nucleotide ribosomal RNA is filed under the name uncultured bacterium. Its description in RNAcentral is "partial 16S ribosomal RNA". It matches the Rfam family "Bacterial small subunit ribosomal RNA", at positions 524 to 776 of the family's 1533-position model. The record is from RNAcentral.
UACGUAGGGUGCAAACGUUGCUCGGAAUCAUUGGGCGUAAAGCGCACGUAGGCGGACCGCUAAGUCGGAUGUGAAAGCCCUCGGCUUAACCGAGGAAGUGCAUUCGAAACUGACGGUCUUGAGUAUGGAAGAGGGUCGCGGAAUUCCCGGUGUAGAGGUGAAAUUCGUAGAUAUCGGGAGGAACACCAGUGGCGAAGGCGGCGACCUGGGCCAAUACUGACGCUGAGGUGCGAAAGCGUGGGGAGCAAACAGG